AACGAACGCUGGCGGCAUGCCUAACACAUGCAAGUCGAACGAGAGCUUCGGCUCUAGUGGCGCACGGGUGCGUAACGCGUGGGAAUCUGCCCUUGGGUUCGGAAUAACAGUUGGAAACGACUGCUAAUACCGGAUGAUGACGUAAGUCCAAAGAUUUAUCGCCCUGGGAUGAGCCCGCGUCGGAUUAGCUAGUUGGUGGGGUAAAGGCCUACCAAGGCGACGACCCGUAGCUGGUCUGAGAGGAUGAUCAGCCACACUGGGACUGAGACACGGCCCAGAAUCCUACGGGAGGCAGCGGUGGGGAAUAUGGGACAAUGGGCGCAAGCCUGAUCCAGCAAUGCCGCGUGAGUGAUGAAGGCCUUAGGGUUGUAAAGCUCUUUUACCCGGGAAGAUAAAGACAGUAUCUGGGGAAUAAGCCCCGGCUAACUCCGUGCCAGCCGCCGCCGUAA
RNAcentral lists this ribosomal RNA (449 nucleotides) under uncultured bacterium. RNAcentral's name for it is "partial 16S ribosomal RNA". It matches the Rfam family "Bacterial small subunit ribosomal RNA", at positions 29 to 523 of the family's 1533-position model. The record is from RNAcentral.